This 247-nucleotide ribosomal RNA is filed under the name uncultured bacterium. RNAcentral describes it as "partial 16S ribosomal RNA". It matches the Rfam family "Bacterial small subunit ribosomal RNA", at positions 796 to 1041 of the family's 1533-position model. The record is from RNAcentral.
CACGCCCUAAACGAUGUCGACUAGUUGUUGGACGGGUUACUGUUCAGUAACGAAGCUAACGCGUGAAGUCGACCGCCUGGGGAGUACGGCCGCAAGGUUAAAACUCAAAGGAAUUGACGGGGACCCGCACAAGCGGUGGAUGAUGUGGUUUAAUUCGAUGCAACGCGAAAAACCUUACCUACCCUUGACAUGCCAGGAACUUACCAGAGAUGGUUUGGUGCUCGAAAGAGAGCCUGGACACAGGUGC